UAGGGAAUCUUCGGCAAUGGACGAAAGUCUGACCGAGCAACGCCGCGUGAGUGAAGAAGGUUUUCGGAUCGUAAAACUCUUUUGUUAGAGAAGAACAAGGACGUUAGUAACUGAACGUCCCCUGACGGUAUCUAACCAGAAAGCUACGGCUAACUACGUGCCAGCAGCCGCGGUAAUACGUAGGUGGCAAGCGUUGUCCGGAUUUAUUGGGCGUAAAGCGAGCGCAGGCGGUUUCUUAAGUCUGAUGUGAAAGCCCCCGGCUCAACCGGGGAGGGUCAUUGGAAACUGGGAGACUUGAGUGCAGAAGAGGGGAGUGGAAUUCCAUGUGUAGCGGUGAAAUGCGUAGAUAUAUGGAGGAACACCAGUGGCGAAGGCGGCUCUCUGGUCUGUAACUGACGCUGAGGCUCGAAAGCGUGGGGAGCAAACAGG
RNAcentral lists this ribosomal RNA (429 nucleotides) under Gemmatimonadota bacterium. Its description in RNAcentral is "Gemmatimonadetes bacterium partial 16S ribosomal RNA". It matches the Rfam family "Bacterial small subunit ribosomal RNA", at positions 355 to 776 of the family's 1533-position model. The record is from RNAcentral. Lineage: Bacteria; Pseudomonadati; Gemmatimonadota.